AUUUAAGUAGUUUAUAACAAAUAAAAGAUUGUGGGGCUUUAGAAGGAGAAAUUCCCUUAAAUA
RNAcentral lists this transfer RNA (63 nucleotides) under Friesea antarctica. RNAcentral's name for it is "tRNA-His". The record is from RNAcentral. Lineage: Eukaryota; Metazoa; Arthropoda; Collembola; Poduromorpha; Neanuridae.